ACACACACUUGUGCCCUGGCUACGCAUGCUAAGUUGUUUCAGUUGUGUCUGACUCUCUGUGGCCCUACGGACUGUAGCUCACCAGGCUCCUCUGUCCGUGGGAUUCUCCAGGACAUGCAUCUUCCUACUCCAGGCCCCAAGACUGUGGUCCUUCCCAGCUGCAUGUCAUCCAAGCCCAGCUGAAGCUUGACUGGUCAAUGACCUUUCCUCAGGAUGUUUGCAUUUGAGAAGAACAGGAAGUCCCAGCAUCUUACUUCUUCCAGGCCACAGUUCCCAGGAGCCCAGUGUUCUGGCAGAUGGUCCUAGAUAAUUUUACGAACUCAAUCAACAAACAUUCACUGGUGCCUGAGCUGGAGCUACAGUGGAGAAAAUGAGGAUACUGCCCCAAGGCCUCACCAAUAACUAGGGAGACAUUCAAAAUAAGAUCAUUGCAAUACUGGAAAUGGGAAUGAGGUACUAUGGGAGGCCAGUCGUCGGAGCUGACAUUUACCCAGGGCUUCCUAUUGUCAGGAGCUCUGCUACGUACUUCCAUUACACUUUAUCACAUUGGAACUUCAUGCUGAUCCUGUGAGAUGCCCAUUUUACAGAUGAACAAAUUGAGACUCAGGGAGGAAAAGCAAUCUGAAAGGUCCCACAGCUCAUGAGUGCUUGAGCCAGAUUUACCAGACUCAAAUCUGCCUGAGAAGUCAGGGAGGCUUCACAGAGGAGGCAGGUUUUUGGGGGCUUCUCUGGGUCUUUGUUGCUGCUGCUGCUAAGCCGCUUCAGUCGUGUCCGGCUCUGUGGGACCCCAUAGACGGCAGCCCACCAGGCUCCCCCAUCCCUGGGAUUCUCCAGACCCCAAGCUGGACCGAUGGGUACAGUCAGAGAUAAUCAAGAUAACGCCCCCACCUUCGGAUGAUGGAGCUGAUAAUGAUGACGACGAAGACGACGACAAAAGCACCUGCUCUGCGUCACGUGCUGUGCCACGCUCUUCAUUAUGCUCUACUCUGCACUAUCUCAUUUCACCUGACAACAGCUUUUGGAGGCUGAUCCCCUGGAGCGCAGAGGCUCUCUGAGUUCACUUUCCUGCCUGGGC
Long non-coding RNA from Bos taurus (domestic cattle), 1075 nucleotides. NCBI's taxonomy places the organism in Eukaryota, Metazoa, Chordata, Mammalia, Artiodactyla, Bovidae. The record is from Ensembl.